Small nucleolar RNA from Hemibagrus wyckioides, 73 nucleotides. Lineage: Eukaryota; Metazoa; Chordata; Actinopteri; Siluriformes; Bagridae. The record is from RefSeq and is a predicted model, not a curated record.
CUGCAGUGAUGGUUUGAAUUUCUUCACCUGAAAACUCAUGUGGAGUAAAAACACAAGCUUCAAUCUGAGCAUA